GGUUGCGAUCAUACCAUCACUAAUGCAUCGGAUCCCAUCAGAACUCUACAGUUAAGCAUGCUUGGGAGAGAGUAGUACUAGGAUGGGUGACCACCUGGGAAAUACUCGUGUUGCAACCCACU
This 122-nucleotide ribosomal RNA is filed under the name Helianthus annuus (common sunflower). Lineage: Eukaryota; Viridiplantae; Streptophyta; Magnoliopsida; Asterales; Asteraceae. The record is from RNAcentral.